RNAcentral lists this ribosomal RNA (245 nucleotides) under uncultured Verrucomicrobia subdivision 3 bacterium. RNAcentral's name for it is "partial 16S ribosomal RNA". It matches the Rfam family "Bacterial small subunit ribosomal RNA", at positions 524 to 768 of the family's 1533-position model. The record is from RNAcentral. Lineage: Bacteria; Pseudomonadati; Verrucomicrobiota; Verrucomicrobiia; Limisphaerales.
UACAGAGGUCCCAAGCGUUGUUCGGAAUCACUGGGCGUAAAGGGUGCGUAGGCGGUAUGGUAAGACUCAUGUGAAAUCUCUGUGCUCAACGCAGAGGCUGCAUGAGAGACUGCUGUGCUGGAGGAUUGGAAGGGAGACUGGAAUUCUUGGAGUAGCAGUGAAAUGCGUAGAUAUCAAGAGGAACACCAGUGGCGAAGGCGAGUCUCUGGACAAAACCUGACGCUGAGGCACGAAAGCCAGGGGAU